Long non-coding RNA from Strongylocentrotus purpuratus (purple sea urchin), 1146 nucleotides. RefSeq annotates it as homocysteine S-methyltransferase YbgG. Lineage: Eukaryota; Metazoa; Echinodermata; Echinoidea; Camarodonta; Strongylocentrotidae. The record is from RefSeq and is a predicted model, not a curated record. The transcript is spliced from 8 exons.
UUUCAGUUUGAUUGAUAAUGAGCCUUCGCUUCGGAAACUUGAAAGUUGAAAGUGAAAUGAAAAUCGAAGGCAAGAAUCCAUUCAAAUGGCAUCUAAAAAUUCGGAUAUAUUCAUCGUUGAUGGAGGUCUGAGCACAGAGCUGAUAAGACUCGGUUUCCCGGUUGACCUGACUGACAAGGAUCCCCUGUGGACAUCGACAUAUCUUUUGAAAAAUCAUAAUGCACUCCGGAAAGCGCAUCUCAGUUUCCUUGAACAUGGUGCUGAUGUCAUCUUAACAGGUACUUACCAGGCCAGUUUAGAGUUGUUUGAGAAGGCAGCAGGGAUAGGAGCAGAGGAAUUCAGCAAGCUGAUUCAAACGGCAUGUGACAUCGCGAGGCAGGCAGUGGAGGAAUUCUGGGAGAAACAAUCUCAACCUGGAAGAAGGAAGCCUCUCAUCGCUGGAUCGGUAGGACCUUACGGAGCUUGUCUGCUAGACUUCUCAGAAUACCAUGGCAACUACGUGGAUAACAUGACAAUGGAGGAAUUAAAGCAGUGGCACAGACCCCGCAUCCAAGCACUUGUAGAUGGCAAGGUUGAUCUGUUAGCCAUAGAAACUAUCCCGUCCAUUGUUGAGGCCGAAGCUCUACUGUCAGUUCUACAAGAGUUUCCAAGUAUGAAGGCAUGGCUGACUUUCUACUGCAAGGACAAAUCCCACAUAGGCCAUGGAGAGAGCUUUGCUGAGGCCGUUAGCAAAGUCAGCGCCUGCUCCCAGGUAGUGGGAGUCGGUACCAACUGCAUCGCUGCAGAAAACGUCACAGCGCUGCUACAGAGUGCCUCAACAUCCAGGAAUGGAAAACCCUUUGUCGUUUAUCCCAACGCACCCGGAGAGCAGUGGAUAGAUGAUAGCGUAUGCGGAAAGACCGCUGCUGAUGAGUUUGAUGACCUCAUACCGGCAUGGAUAGAGGCAGGAGUUAAGUACAUCGGGGGUUGCUGCGGAACUAGUGCCUUAGACAUCAAACAUAUAGCAAAUCUACUUACCAAUAGAUAGUGAAGGUCGAUUAACUUAUUUGUUGACUUCAUUUUUUUCCUCUUAGUUUAAAGGGAUUGGGUAAUUUUGUCUCAGAUUCUGAAACAAAAUCCUGGAUUUAGCUCAUGCUACAAUGAUAA